RNAcentral lists this ribosomal RNA (804 nucleotides) under Hypochnicium cf. sphaerosporum. Its description in RNAcentral is "eukaryotic LSU rRNA". It matches the Rfam family "Eukaryotic large subunit ribosomal RNA", at positions 77 to 867 of the family's 3401-position model. The record is from RNAcentral. Lineage: Eukaryota; Fungi; Basidiomycota; Agaricomycetes; Polyporales.
CCCCUAGUAACUGCGAGUGAAGCGGGAAAAGCUCAAAUUUAAAAUCUGGCAGUCUUUGAUUGUCCGAAUUGUAGUCUGGAGAAGUGCUUUCCGCGCUGGACCGUGUACAAGUCUCUUGGAACAGAGCGUCAUAGAGGGUGAGAAUCCCGUCUUUGACACGGACUACCAGUGCUUUGUGAUGCGCUCUCAAAGAGUCGAGUUGUUUGGGAAUGCAGCUCAAAAUGGGUGGUAAAUUCCAUCUAAAGCUAAAUAUUGGCGAGAGACCGAUAGCGAACAAGUACCGUGAGGGAAAGAUGAAAAGCACUUUGGAAAGAGAGUUAAACAGUACGUGAAAUUGCUGAAAGGGAAACGCUUGAAGUCAGUCGCGUUAAUCAGAACUCAGCCCGGCUUUUGCUUGGUGUAUUUUCUGUUUGACGGGCCAGCAUCAAUUUUGAUCGUUGGAUAAAGGUCUCGGGAAUGUGGCAUCUUCGGAUGUGUUAUAGCCCGGGGUCGCAUACAACGGUUGGGAUUGAGGAUCUCAGCAUGCCUUUAUGGUCGGGGUUCGCCCACGUUCAUGCUUAGGAUGCUGGCGUAAUGGCUUUAAACGACCCGUCUUGAAACACGGACCAAGGAGUCUAACAUGCCUGCGAGUGUUUGGGUGGAAAACCCGAGCGCGUAAUGAAAGUGAAAGUUGGGAUCUCUGUCGUGGGGAGCACCGACGCCCAGACCAGACCUUCUGUGACGGAUCUGCGGUAGAGCAUGUAUGUUGGGACCCGAAAGAUGGUGAACUAUGCCUGAAUAGGGUGAAGCCAGAGGAAACUCUGG